RNAcentral lists this long non-coding RNA (256 nucleotides) under Elaeis guineensis (African oil palm). Its description in RNAcentral is "long non-coding RNA (EGUI_LNC036563)". The record is from RNAcentral. Lineage: Eukaryota; Viridiplantae; Streptophyta; Magnoliopsida; Arecales; Arecaceae.
GAGUAUAAACCAAAAUAUGAAUUUGAACCAAAAUAUGGAUUCAUAUAUACAAAGUUCUAUGGUAGUCUCAAGUCAAAGGAUUAUAUGCACAACUCCCAUUAUAAGAAAAUAUCUUUUGAUGGAUAAGUAGAUUCCAUAAGAUAUUCUUAAGUUAGAUCAAUUUAGUGAACUUAUUCUCUAAUGAGCACUCAUUUUUUUAUAUUAGUAUCUCACACAAGUGGCUUAUGAGAUCAGCCACCCUCUCCAUUGAGCAUAC